AUGCAGUCGACGAACCAUCCUGUUGAUUGAAGCUUGCUUCUUGAUUCAGAUUUUGGUGAGUGGCGGACGGGUGAGUAACACGUGGGUAACCUGCCCAAAAGUGGGGGAUAACAUUUGGAAACAAGUGCUAAUACCGCAUAACAACUGCUUUCACAUGAUCGCAGCUUGAAAGAUGGCUCUGCUAUCGCUUUUGGAUGGACCCGCGGCGUAUUAGCUAGUUGGUGAGGUAAUAGCUCACCAAGGCAAUGAUACGUAGCCGACCUGAGAGGGUAAUCGGCCACAUUGGGACUGAGACACGGCCCAAACUCCUACGGGAGGCAGCAGUAGGGAAUCUUCCACAAUGGGCGAAAGCCUGAUGGAGCAAUGCCGCGUGAGUGAAGAAGGUUUUCGGAUCGUAAAACUCUGUUGUUGAAGAAGAACAUGCGUGAGAGUAACUGUUCACGUACUGACGGUAUUCAACCAGAAAGCCACGGCUAACUACGUGCCAGCAGCCGCGGUAAUACGUAGGUGGCAAGCGUUGUCCGGAUUUAUUGGGCGUAAAGAGAAUGUAGGCGGUUUAUUAAGUUUGAAGUGAAAGCCCUCGGCUCAACCGAGGAAGUGCUUCGAAAACUGGUAAACUUGAGUGCAGAAGAGGAAAGU
Molecule: ribosomal RNA, 639 nt
Filed under: Companilactobacillus farciminis
Lineage: Bacteria; Bacillati; Bacillota; Bacilli; Lactobacillales; Lactobacillaceae
Description: bacterial SSU rRNA
Rfam family: Bacterial small subunit ribosomal RNA
Source: RNAcentral